ACGGGGUGCAGCAGGCGCGAAAACUGACCAAUGCGCGAAAGCGUGAGUCGGUCAAUCCGAGUGUAGACCCAUCGGUUUACUUUUGUCAUGUGUACAACGCUUGGCGAAUAAUGUGAGGGCAAGACUGGUGCCAGCCGCCGCGGUAAAACCAGCUCAUAGAGUGGUGAUCAUGAUUAUUUGGCUUAAAGUGUCGUAGCAGGGAAUUCUAAGUCCUCUGUGAAAUGUCAGGUCUUAAGCUUGACACGUGCAGAGGAUACUGGAAUCCUUGGGACUGGGAUAGGUGUAAUGUACGGUUUGGGUAGGGGUGAAAUCCGAUAAUCCAAGCCGGACAACCGGUGGCGAAGGCGUUACACUGGAACAGGUCCGACUGUGAGGCACGAAAGCUAGGGUCGCGAGCCGGAUUAGAUACCCGGGUAGUCCUAUGCCGUAAACGAUGCUCACUAAGUGUUAGGUAAUGCAAGACAUUCUCUAGUGCCGAAGCGAAAGCGUUAAGUGAGCCGCCUGGAAGUACGUUCGCAAGAA
This 522-nucleotide ribosomal RNA is filed under the name uncultured archaeon. Its description in RNAcentral is "bacterial SSU rRNA". It matches the Rfam family "Archaeal small subunit ribosomal RNA", at positions 325 to 849 of the family's 1478-position model. The record is from RNAcentral.